RNAcentral lists this unclassified non-coding RNA (383 nucleotides) under Hevea brasiliensis (rubber tree). The record is from RNAcentral. Lineage: Eukaryota; Viridiplantae; Streptophyta; Magnoliopsida; Malpighiales; Euphorbiaceae.
UUUUAUUAUUAUUAUUAUUAUUCUUAAGCUAGAAUGCAGCUAAGAAUGAAUUUUGAUCUAUUCUGAGAUAUUAUCUUCUGAAAAUGCUCAGUCAGAUUGAAUUUCCUUGAGGUUUUCCCUCUGCAUGAGUUUUUAGUGAACUUUGAAGUUCCAGCUGUUACAGUUUGUCUGCUAAUUGUCAGCCUUACUAGCUUAUGGAUGACAAUGAUUCUCAAAACUUUCUUUUAUACAAAAAUGUUGCACUGAAUUAAGUCACUGGAGUUUUAAAAACAAUUAAUUUUUAGUUCUCAUAUUACCUGAUCUGUACAUAAUUUGGGUUUUGUUAUUGAUUAAUUAGUUGUGUACAAUUAAAGUGCAAUUGAGUCAAAUAAUAUGAAAAAGCG